Molecule: ribosomal RNA, 375 nt
Filed under: uncultured bacterium
Lineage: Bacteria
Description: bacterial SSU rRNA
Rfam family: Bacterial small subunit ribosomal RNA
Source: RNAcentral
AUACGGGGGGUGCGAGCGUUAAUCGGAAUUACUGGGCGUAAAGCGUGCGUAGGCGGUUUGGUCAGUCAGCCGUGAAAGCCCCGGGCCUAACCUGGGAACGGCGGUUGAGACGGUCAGACUCGAGUGGGCUAGAGGAUUGUGGAAUUCCGGGUGUAGCGGUGAAAUGCGUAGAGAUCCGGAGGAACACCGAUGGCGAAGGCAGCAAUCUGGGGCCACACUGACGCUGAGGCACGAAAGCGUGGGGAGCAAACAGGAUUAGAUACCCUGGUAGUCCACGCGGUAAACGAUGAACACUAGACGUUGGGCGGGUGACCGUCCGGUGUCGAAGCUAACGCGCUAAGUGUUCCGCCUGGGGAGUACGGCCGCAAGGUUGAA